GGCGUGCUUAACACAUGCAAGUCGAACGGGAACCUCUGGAUUCGUCUGGAGGGGAGAGUGGCGAACGGGUGAGUAACACGUAGGUGACCUGCCUCGAAGACGAGGAUAACCACUGGAAACGGUGGCUAAUACUCGAUGGUCUCGAUAAUUCGGUUUAUCGAGUAAAGGCUCUGGCGCUUUGAGAGGGACCUGCGGCCCAUCAGCUAGUUGGUAGGGUAACGGCCUACCAAGGCGAAGACGGGUAGGGGGCGUGAGAGCGUGACCCCCCACACUGGCACUGGGACACGGGCCAGACUCCUACGGGAGGCAGCAGUGAGGAAUAUUGCGCAAUGAGCGAAAGCUAGACGCAGCAACGCCGCGUGGGUGAUGAAGGCCUUCGGGUCGUAAAACCCUUUUCUGGGGGAAGAGUAAGGACGGUACCCCAGGAAUAAGCCUCGGCUAACUAUGUGCCAGCAGCCGCGGUAAUACAUAGGAGGCAAGCGUUAUCCGGAUUUACUGGGCGUAAAGAGCGUUGAGGCGGCUUCGUAAGUUGGACGUGAAAGCUCCCGGCUUAGCUGGGAGAGGCCGUUCAAUACUGCGGGGCUUGAGGGCAGCAGAGGGGGGUGGAAUUUCCGGUGUAGUGGUGAAAUGCGUAGAUAUCGGAAGGAACACCAGUGGCGAAGGCGGCCCCCUGGGCUGCUCCUGACGCUGAAGGCGAAAGCUAGGGGAGCGAACGGGAUUAGAAACCCCGGUAGUCCUAGCCGUAAACGAUGGAUACUAGGUGUAGGAGGUUAAAAUUCCUUCUGUGCCGGAGCUAGCGCGUUAAGUAUCCCGCCUGGGGAGUACGGUCGCAAGGCUAAAACUCAAAGGAAUUGACGGGGGCCCGCACAAGCAGCGGAGCGUGUGGUUUAAUUCGAUGCAACACGAAGAACCUUACCAGGGCUUGACAUGUAGGUAGUAGUGAAGCGAAAGCGGAACGAUCCUUCGGGAAGCCUACACAGGUGCUGCAUGGCUGUCGUCAGCUCGUGCCGUGAGGUGUUAGGUUAAGUCCUGUAACGAGCGCAACCCCUGCCGUUAGUUACAAGUGUCUAACGGGACUGCCCGGCAAAACUGGGAGGAAGGUGGGGAUGACGUCAAGUC
Molecule: ribosomal RNA, 1119 nt
Filed under: uncultured organism
Description: bacterial SSU rRNA
Rfam family: Bacterial small subunit ribosomal RNA
Source: RNAcentral